GCGUCAUAUUGUUUUGGUCCUAGCAAGGUAAACACUACGUGGACAAGAUAAGAAAACAGAAAGUUAGAUGCUCAGAUCUACCACCAACUAAAAGGUACUACAUUUUGAGACACAUGAAGAUAUUUCUACAGCGAACAAAGAUAACUGACUACAUAUAAGCUACAAAGGAAAUCAGAAGAAAAGGAUCCAGUAGAUGUAGACAAUAGUAUAGUCUAAAACCCUAUAAAAAGAAGAAAGAAAGAAAGAAAGGUAAAUUUAAUUUGUACUACAUGGCGGUGAGAAACUGAAACUAUACGGGAAAAAGUGCAUCUUCGAACCAGCCAC
Molecule: long non-coding RNA, 324 nt
Organism: Penaeus monodon (black tiger shrimp)
Lineage: Eukaryota; Metazoa; Arthropoda; Malacostraca; Decapoda; Penaeidae
Exons: 3
Source: RefSeq, a predicted model, not a curated record